AUACGUAGGUGGCAAGCGUUGUCCGGAAUUAUUGGGCGUAAAGCGCGCGCAGGUGGUUCCUUAAGUCUGAUGUGAAAGCCCCCGGCUCAACCGGGGAGGGUCAUUGGAAACCGGGGAACUUGAGUGCAGAAGAGGAUAGUGGAAUUCCAAGUGUAGCGGUGAAAUGCGUAGAGAUUUGGAGGAACACCAGUGGCGAAGGCGACUGUCUGGUCUGUAACUGACACUGAGGCGCGAAAGCGUGGGGAGCAAACAGGAUUAGAUACCCUGGUAGUCCACGCCGUAAACGAUGAGUGCUAAGUGUUGGGGGGUUUCCGCCCCUCAGUGCUGCAGCUAACGCAUUAAGCACUCCGCCUGGGGAGUACGGUCGCAAGACUGAAACUCAAAGGAAUUGACGGGG
Molecule: ribosomal RNA, 397 nt
Filed under: uncultured bacterium
Lineage: Bacteria
Description: partial 16S ribosomal RNA
Rfam family: Bacterial small subunit ribosomal RNA
Source: RNAcentral